This 85-nucleotide transfer RNA is filed under the name Felis catus (domestic cat). It matches the Rfam family "tRNA". From Rfam's summary of the family: Transfer RNA (tRNA) molecules are approximately 80 nucleotides in length. Their secondary structure includes four short double-helical elements and three loops (D, anti-codon, and T loops). Further hydrogen bonds mediate the characteristic L-shaped molecular structure. tRNAs have two regions of fundamental functional importance: the anti-codon, which is responsible for specific mRNA codon recognition, and the 3' end, to which the tRNAs corresponding amino acid is attached (by aminoacyl-tRNA synthetases). tRNAs cope with the degeneracy of the genetic code in two manners: having more than one tRNA (with a specific anti-codon) for a particular amino acid; and 'wobble' base-pairing, i.e. permitting non-standard base-pairing at the 3rd anti-codon position. The record is from Rfam by way of RNAcentral. Lineage: Eukaryota; Metazoa; Chordata; Mammalia; Carnivora; Felidae.
GCCUGGGUGGCUCAGUCGGUUAAGCAUCUGACUUUGGCUCAGGUCAUGAUUUUGUGAUUUGUGGGUUCAGGCCCCAUGUCGGGCU